GUAGGUGGCAAGCGUUGUCCGGAAUUAUUGGGCGUAAAGCGCGCGCAGGCGGUUCUUUAAGUCUGAUGUGAAAGCCCACGGCUCAACCGUGGAGGGUCAUUGGAAACUGGAGAACUUGAGUACAGAAGAGGAAAGCGGAAUUCCACGUGUAGCGGUGAAAUGCGUAGAGAUGUGGAGGAACACCAGUGGCGAAGGCGGCUUUUCUGGUCUGUAACUGACGCUGAGGCGCGAAAGCGUGGGGAGCAAACAGGGAUUAGAUACCCUGGUAGUCCACGCCGUAAACGAUGAGUGCUAAGUGUUAGGGGGUUUCCGCCCCUUAGUGCUGCAGCUAACGCAUUAAGCACUCCGCCUGGGGAGUACGGCCGCAAGGCUG
This 373-nucleotide ribosomal RNA is filed under the name uncultured organism. RNAcentral's name for it is "partial 16S ribosomal RNA". It matches the Rfam family "Bacterial small subunit ribosomal RNA", at positions 527 to 896 of the family's 1533-position model. The record is from RNAcentral.